This 257-nucleotide ribosomal RNA is filed under the name uncultured bacterium. RNAcentral's name for it is "partial 16S ribosomal RNA". It matches the Rfam family "Bacterial small subunit ribosomal RNA", at positions 62 to 334 of the family's 1533-position model. The record is from RNAcentral.
UCGAGCGAACCUUCGGGUUAGCGGCGAACGGGUGAGUAACACGUGGGCAACCUGCCCCGAGCUCUGGGAUAACUCCGGGAAACCGGGGCUAAUACCGGAUACGACCUUGGAAGACAUCUUCCUUGGUGGAAAGUUUUUCGGCUCGGGAUGGGCCCGCGGCCUAUCAGCUUGUUGGUGGGGUAACGGCCUACCAAGGCGACGACGGGUAGCCGGCCUGAGAGGGCGACCGGCCACACUGGGACUGAGACACGGCCCAG